UCUCUUUAUUAUUAUCCCAACUCUCAAAGAGUCUCAACACUUCAAGUUCAAGAUUCAAACUUUGAUUCCAAUAAUCAAUUUCAAGAACACCCAGAAUCAUUUUCAACAUAAUCCCUCAAAAUAAUCUUCAUUUCAAAAUCUGGGUCACAUGAAUUUCAAGUGUUUAGAAGAUUUCUGGGUAUUCUACAUGAACCAUCACACAAAGCAAUUAACAAGAAGAUGUCACUUCAUAGGAACACUCUUCACAAUCAUCUUCUUUCUCUUCUCAAUCUUCUUCACUUGGAAGUUUUUGUUUCUUGUUCCAUUUUCUGCUUAUGGAUUUUCAAUGUAUAGUCAUUUGAUGAUUGAAGGGAAUUUUCCUGUUACUAUUGGGUACCCUUUUUGGUCUCUUUUCUGUGAUUUCAAAUUGUUUUGGUUUAUGAUUACUGGAAAAAUGGAUAGAGAAAUGAAAAGACUUGGGAAGAGACCUGUGUUGCAAUUGUUCUGAAUUUUUUUAUGGGCAAUAUAUGCACAAUUUCGACACAAUUAUUUGAAACAUGAAAGUGCAAAUACAUUAGUCAAUUAGUCAAUUAUUGGUUGUAAAUAAAAAAUGUUAUUUGAUCAUCAAUGUUUUCUAGCUAACUUGUGUGGUUACAAA
Cicer arietinum (chickpea) is the source of this 637-nucleotide non-coding RNA. Lineage: Eukaryota; Viridiplantae; Streptophyta; Magnoliopsida; Fabales; Fabaceae. The record is from RefSeq and is a predicted model, not a curated record.